RNAcentral lists this ribosomal RNA (700 nucleotides) under Actinomycetes bacterium. RNAcentral's name for it is "bacterial SSU rRNA". It matches the Rfam family "Bacterial small subunit ribosomal RNA", at positions 90 to 803 of the family's 1533-position model. Lineage: Bacteria; Bacillati; Actinomycetota; Actinomycetes. The record is from RNAcentral.
GAUUAGUGGCGAACGGGUGAGUAACACGUGAGUAACCUGCCCCUGACUCUGGGAUAAGCGUUGGAAACGACGUCUAAUACUGGAUAUGACUACUGGUCGCAUGGCCUGGUGGUGGAAAGAUUUUUUGGUUGGGGAUGGACUCGCGGCCUAUCAGCUUGUUGGUGAGGUAAUGGCUCACCAAGGCGACGACGGGUAGCCGGCCUGAGAGGGUGACCGGCCACACUGGGACUGAGACACGGCCCAGACUCCUACGGGAGGCAGCAGUGGGGAAUAUUGCACAAUGGGCGAAAGCCUGAUGCAGCAACGCCGCGUGAGGGAUGACGGCCUUCGGGUUGUAAACCUCUUUUAGUAGGGAAGAAGCGAAAGUGACGGUACCUGCAGAAAAAGCACCGGCUAACUACGUGCCAGCAGCCGCGGUAAUACGUAGGGUGCAAGCGUUGUCCGGAAUUAUUGGGCGUAAAGAGCUCGUAGGCGGUUUGUCGCGUCUGCUGUGAAAUCCCGAGGCUCAACCUCGGGCUUGCAGUGGGUACGGGCAGACUAGAGUGCGGUAGGGGAGAUUGGAAUUCCUGGUGUAGCGGUGGAAUGCGCAGAUAUCAGGAGGAACACCGAUGGCGAAGGCAGAUCUCUGGGCCGUAACUGACGCUGAGGAGCGAAAGCGUGGGGAGCGAACAGGAUUAGAUACCCUGGUAGUCCACGCCGU